RNAcentral lists this ribosomal RNA (252 nucleotides) under uncultured bacterium. RNAcentral describes it as "partial 16S ribosomal RNA". It matches the Rfam family "Bacterial small subunit ribosomal RNA", at positions 524 to 776 of the family's 1533-position model. The record is from RNAcentral.
UACGGAGGAUGCGAGCGUUAUCCGGAUUUAUUGGGUUUAAAGGGUGCGUAGGCGGGCUUUUAAGUCAGCGGUAAAAAUUCGGGGCUCAACCCCGUCCGGCCGUUGAAACUGGGGGCCUUGAGUGGGCGAGAAGAAGGCGGAAUGCGUGGUGUAGCGGUGAAAUGCAUAGAUAUCACGCAGAACCCCGAUUGCGGAGGCAGCCUUCCGGCGCCCUACUGACGCUGAGGCACGAAAGUGCGGGGAUCGAACAGG